AUUGUUCUUCUUGAUUUUCUAAUAUUUUCCAAUAUAUAUACUUGUAUAUUCCAACAUUUAUUAAUGUUACCUGAUGUUGUAAUGUAUCGAUCUCAUCUUGAUUUUAUUUCUAUCAAAUACCAGAGAUUUAUUAAUCAACUAUUAUAGUCAUUAAAAAUAUAGCUUAACAGUUAGAAUACUAUAAAAAACUCUGAAGAGUCGGAAAACUUAUGAACAAAACUAAAUUCACAAUAAAAUUCCAACAGAAUAAAAUAAAUUAUAACCAAACAACUAAGUCAACUUCUCUAAAAACUUUUUGUUUGGCCAAAUAAUCUACAACAUGAUUCUUCUUUCUAUGAACAUGUUCAAAACACAGAAAAAAAAAGUCUAUUAUAUUCGUUGAAAAUAUUAUUGAAUUCAAUUUGCAUGCACUCAGUCCGCAUAACAUUUUUUCCUUUAAUGAUAUUCACCUGUGUAUGAACAAAUUAAUUGUAGGCCAAGCGUGACAGGUCAAUGGAUGCUCCACUAGCAGACGUUUGUAGAGCUACCUCUGCAGCACCGUAUUACUUUCCCCCUUAUCAUUUUAAAACCAGCAAGCCCUUCAACCUAGUUGAUGGCGGUGUUGCAGCCAAUAAUCCUGUAAGUUACUGUUUAUUGUGAUAUAAUAACAUUUAUACUAGGAAAAUGAUAAGUUAGCAUCGCUAGGAAAAAGAAUGCACUAUCAUUUGUAGAAAUUAUACUGCUAUUUGGCAAUUAAGUCACACCUUUUUGUAGUUCUAUAAUGCAUUUAUAGUCUUUGUUUUAAUUAAUGGCUUAUCUCUCUUGUCAUAAUCUUAUCAGUCUUUCCUAGCUGUGUGUGAGGCGAUGAAAGAACGGAAGGCAGAUUUUCACAAAUUUGUUGUUCUCUCCCUUGGAACUGGAGCACCAGAUGCAAGUGGCAGGCUAGAGGUUAGAGACGGCAAAUGGGGAAUUGUUGAUUGGCUUUGGCAGGAUGACAAUUCCAACCCGUUGCUGGAUAUCUUGACGACUGCACCAGAUGAAAUGACUGAGAUGUACAUGUCUACCGUCUUUCAAUACAGUGGAUUAGAACACAACUAUACUCGGAUCCAGGUAAACCACUUGAAAGUAUAAAAAGUAGGAAUUUUCGGCAACGAGAUAGCUAUUUAUUUGGUCGUGGUGAAGUUGGGGAAGCUGGCAUUUCAUUGUUAAUGAUGCGUUGCCAUUUCAUACUACGAUUAGGUUGAGCUAAAACCCAGUGAAGCCAUAAUGGACAAUACAAGCAAAGAAAAUCUGGAGAGACUCAAGAAGAUCGGUCAGGAUUUAGCAGAACAAAAUGAUGCCAAACUUGAAGCGUAAGAACUGGAUUUAUGAAUUAUCUUGGCUUUUCAAUUAGCACCGAAGCAAGCUAACUUCUUGUUGAUCUUAAUUAUUGCAACCUCGCUUUGAUGUUGUGCAGUCUUGCAAGCCGAUUGGUCGAGAUACGGAAAGCUCGCUUAACCCACAUAUCAACUUGACAAUUCAUAAAGUAGAACGUUGCUGAUGUCCAAGGCAACGUUGUCCAAGAUAUGGUUACCUGCCCAUAUGAUUAGUACUGUUUUCAAAUUUGCCAGUGACUUUAGUGCUGGAGUUAGCACUAGUUCAAGUCAGGCUUCGUUCUGAGUUGUGUGGAGUUGAUAAUUAUGUACCUCUAUCAUAAAUAAUGAGGAAACAAUGUACUCUUCUUAAGCUUCUUCUAAAAGCAAAAGAAGAUCUUCUUUAUUUAUGUUAUGUGUGUAAUGUGUUGUAUUAAUAUGCAUCAUGUGGAGUGGCUUGAUUAAUCUCUCUAUUAUUCUUAAUGAGUGGUCUUUGCUUCCACUUUCCCCAAUUGAUCUUUUUAUUCUUAAUCCAUCGAAAUAUAAUUUUCAAAAACUGUAAAUGUCUGUUGUGUUUAGUUCAGAAUAAUAAGAAGCUUAACUUAUUAGUUAUUCAACAUUUCUUAUUUACAUAUGUAGGACAAUAUACAAUAAUUAAUGUAGAGAUUACAAUACAAAAUUUAACCUUACACAUGGUAAAUAUAAUUACUAUAAUAUAUACCCUAUAAAUUAGUACUUUCUAUAAUACGCCCUCUCAAACUAAGGGUGAAGGUUCAACUCGAAGCUUGAACCAAUGAUGAGAAAAAGAAGCAGUGUGAGUGGCUUUGUAAGAACAUUUGCAAGUUGAUUCUUGGAGGAAAUAAAACAAAUCUGAAUAUUUUUCUUUGCAACCCUAUCACGUACAAAGUGAAAAUCAGCCUCCACAUGUUUAGUAUGAACAUGAAAAAUAGGAUUCGAGGACAAGUAAGUGGCACNNNNNNNNNNNNNNNNNNNNNNNNNNNNNNNNNNNNNNNNNNNNNNNNNNNNNNNNNNNNNNNNNNNNNNNNNNNNNNNNNNNNNNNNNNNNNNNNNNNNAUAGGUUGGUCAACUGCUGCUAAUUCAUCAAACAAAGCCUUCGUUUUCUGUAGAUAGAUGGUGACAUAAUCAUCAACUUGACAAAGGUCUUGAAAAGCACCAUAAAAUUGCAUAAUGCAAGAAUUGGACAAAAAAGCAAGCACUUGCUCAAGAGCAUGUAAAACAUAGUGCAGAGUGUUACAAUCAACAACAAGAUGCAAUACAUUCAUUGAAAGGGAAGAAAUGAGUGCACUCAUAAUAAGUUAAUAUUGUUGUUUCCAAAAAAAAAAAAAGGAUUAACCUGAAUAGAGGAGUCAUCGACAACAACUAUAUGAGAGGAAUGACACGAAAAAGAGCCAUCAACAAAAUGAAAAACACCUAGUCUAAGAAGAUAUGACUUCAUUUGCAUUUGCUAAUAGAAAUAAUUUGUGUUUAAAAGCUUCAAUGAGAUAACUUGUUGAGUGUUGGAGAGAGGAACAACUUCUCCAAUGAAAGAAUCAAUGACAAUAACAAUGACAGUGGAAGGAGAAAAAGAAUCAGCGUUCAAUACAAAGGAGGAGAGUGAAGACAACACCAGUGCAAAAGCUAUAGGUUGGGAAGAAAUUAGAAUUAGGUUUACAGUUGUGAUUGAGUCCAUUAAAGAGAAAGAAAAGAGAUAAUUUUAACAUGUUUAGUGCUUUGAUACCAAAUUAAGAAUAAUAGAAAGUUUAAUUUAUUAAUUAGUCAACCUUUUUUAUUUAUAUAUGUAGGGAAGUAUACAAUAGUUAAUGUAGAGAUUACAAGACAAGACUCAAUCUAUACACAUGAUAAAUAUAAUUACUAUAAUAUAUACCCUAUAAAUUAGCACUUCCUAUAAUAUAGUUUUCAAGCAUUACGAGGAAAACAUGUUUAAGAGGGAGAAUUCUUAAGUAAUUGGAUUUGGUUAGGAAUAGAGUAAACCUUUAAGGAACUAAAUGACCUUAAUUCACAAAUAUAAAAUGAGAUUUUAAGUAAUGCUUAGUUAAUUUUUUAGGAUAAGAGAGAAGGGAAGAGAUAGCGAUAGAAACAUAAAAAUAAAGUCAUCAUUGAGAUAAUUUGAGAAAGAAUUUCUAUACUUCCAAAACAGGAGGUCUAAAAAGGAUGUAUCUCUUUGAGAUAAUAUUUAUUAUUUUGCAUCCCUAAAAUAUCAUUAAUUUAAAAACUUUUUAAUUCCAAACUUGUCCAAUUAAGAAAAUUUGUUACUAUUAGUUUUUUUUUUCUUCUUUUCCCAUUGCAAUUCCUUUGAUAUAUACCAAUAAAAUAUUUCCGUCAGUGUUUACCGAGGGAUAUAGCGAUGAAAAAGUUCGUCGGUAAAAUUCAUCGAAAUCUACCAACAAAAAAUUUUUGUUGGUGUUUUCAUUUGUAUUUGUCAAAUUUUUGGUAGUAAUUUUACCGAAUAAGGUCACAUCAUAAAUCCUAAUUUAAAAAUUUUAUUAUUCAAAUUCCGUCGGUGUUUUUAUUUGUAUUUGUCAAAUUUCUGGUAGUAAUUCUACCGAAUAGGAUCACAUCAUAAAUUCUAAUUCAAAAAUUUUAUUACUAAAUAUUUCACCACACAAAUAUUCUAAUCAAAACUCUCUAUUACAACUCUUAUAAGUUUGUUUAUAUACUAGUAAAAAAUCCUAAACAGAGUCGAAAAAAUAAUAAAAAAAGCUUUAAACUAAAUAAAAAAAAUCCUAAAUCAACUAAAAAAAUAUAGUAAAUCCCAACAAAAACUUAUGGGCAUUAUUUGAAGAUCUUUCUGAACUUUCAUUGCUAUAAAAUGUUAACUCUAAAAAAAACAAACUACUAGGAUCUUCUAAAUUUUUUUAGUCCAAUCCAACAAUUAAAUCAAAAUAUAUACCCAUUAAUAUUAAACUGCGUUAGAGAAAAAUGUUACACACCAUAUAGUUUGACUUUUUAAAAAAAAUAUAAGUUAUAGUUUUAUCUUUUAGAAAUACUUGGAUUUUUAUCUAAUAAUUUAUGAAGUGUAUUUUUACAUUUUUAUACAUAGAUUUUAAAUUUAAACUCUAUUUUAUGGAAAAUUAAAUAAAAAUAUAGUUUGAUUUUUAAUUUGUUUUUAAACUGAUUUAAAAAAAUCAGACAGAGAAUGAUGAUGGUUUUAAAUAUUUUUUGACAAAGAUAGAGGGAGCGAGCUGUAAACCAUAUCAGAAUGAAUAGAGGGAUUACAACAAUGUUGAAAUACCUUAUUUAGACCCAUAAUUCCAUAACAGGAUUAUUGACUUACCUUAUCAAGAACCAUAAUUGUAGAUACCUUGAUCCUGGCCCAAAAUCAUAUUACUCCUUAGAUUCGAGUUAGAUUUAUUUUCUAAAAAGCUACUCCAUAGUUUUCUCUCAUGUAAACAACAAUUCAAAGAUGCCAAAGCCCUCUAUAUCAAGACCAUGGUUUCUCUGUUUUUGUUCAGUCAGUGAAGAACACAUGCUUCUAGCAACAAUGGCGAACCCAUUAAUCUACUUUUCAGGCUGUCUGUUCCUAUCCAUUCUCAUUAUUCUCAUCAAGUUCUUUAAUAAAGUAUGGUGGACUCCCAUUCGCAUCCAAUCUUUGAUGAAGUCACAGGGAAUCAGAGGCCCUUCUUACAGAUUUCUGCAUGGUAACACCAAAGAGAUCUCCACAAUGAUAAGAAAAACUAGGAGCAGUCCCCAGGAAUUACUACAUCAUACAUUGCCCAUGGUUCAUCCCCACUUUUAUUCAUGGAUCAAGCUCUAUGGUAACAAUCUUCUCAUACUUUAGAUAUCAAGCAAUAUUCUUGCUUAAAUUUAGAUGAAUUAUAACUUCUUACAUCAACAAAAUGUCUGCAGAAUUAUAUAAAUUAACUUUGACUACAUAUUUCUGUACAGGGAUGAACUUCCUUCAAUGGUAUGGUCCACAAGCACAACUGAUCAUCACUGAACCUGAGCUGGUCAAACAAAUAUUAAGCAACAAAGAUCGAGCGUACCCCAAAACGAAGGUCUCAAAUGAAAUAAAGAAGCUCCUAGGGGAUGGAAUUGUCUUAUCAGAAGGGGAAAAAUGGGUUAAACUCAGGAAACUGGCCAAUCAUGCUUUCCAUGGAGAGAGCAUAAAAGUAAAUUCUUUUUUUGGUUUUGAACUGUGAUCAUGAAGCUGGCAGAUAUAUAACUAAACUACAAUUGAACUGGAUAAACAGUACAAGUAUAUACGAAAGUCACCCACCUAGGGUAAUUCCAUCAACUACUAAGCACCGUUUCUAUGCUCUGCAGGGUAUGGUUCCAGAAAUGAUCGCCAGUUUAGAGAUUAUGCUUGAAAGAUGGAGACACCAUCAUAGCAAGGAGAUAGAUAUAUUUGUAGAGUUCAAGAUUUUAACAUCAGAAGUAAUUUCCAGGACGUCUUUUGGAAGCAGCUACUUGGAAGGGCAGCACGUAUUUGAUAUGCUUACGAGAAUGACUCACAUUAUUUCAGAAAACAAUUACAGAGUUAGAAUUCCUGGAAUUGGGUAAACACCAUAUAUGUGCAUGCAUCGGCAUAAUCAUGCCUGACAUGAGUUUUUCCUUGGAGACAAUUAACUUGCUGACGAGAAAUUUUAAAUCUUUUAAUUCUGUCAUUUUCAGGCUCCCACCUUUUCAUUUAUACAAGAUUCUAAUGUUGCAGAAAUGAAUGGCAUUUUUCUAUUGUUGCAGAAAAUUUGUUAAAGCAAGUUAUGAUAUUGAAUUUGAAAAUCUGGAAGCGAAGAUAAGAAAAUCAUUCAUGAAAAUGAUGAAGAGAACAGAGAAAGACGCCACGUUGGGAGAACUGUUAAAGUAAUUCAGAUGAAACAUAAAAGGAGGCUAGAAUUCUCAAUAAUAUGUUUAUUAUGAGUGCUUAAGUUAACCUAAAUACAAAUGAAUUAUAUAUAGGUUAAACUGAAAAUACUAUUCUACCCUUAAUAAAUAAAACUAGAUAAAUAUUACUUAACAUCUCCCCUCAAACUCACGAUGCGGCAUCUACAAGCAUCGAGAGUUUGCCAACUAGAAAAUGAAAACGAGAUAUGGAAUGCGUCUUGGUAAAGAAAUCUGCAAUCUGCAAGGAAGAAUGAACAAAAGGCAAAGUAAUGGUGCCAUGCUUGAGAUGAUGACGAGUAAGAUGACAAUCGAUCUCAAUGUGCUUAGUUCGCUCAUAAAAACCGAGUUGUGAGCAAUCUGAAUAGAAGUCUGGUUGUCACAAUUCAUAGGAGUAGGAUGAGAAAAGAAAACUCUCAUAUCAGCAAGUAACCAACGUAACCAAACAAUCUCUUUGGUAGUAGAUGCCAUGACAGAAGCUGAAGGAAAGUCGAAAUACCAGAUUUUGCAGAAGCGGAAGACAAAAUAUCACUCCAAAUUUUUUUGCAGAAACUUAACUCAAAUACCAAAUUGCAGAAACUGAAGAGAAGACGAAAUACCAAAACAAUUGCAGAGACAGAACAGAAAUACCAAAUUGCAGAAGCUGAUACCAAAUUGCAGAAGCUGAAGAGAAGAUGAAAUACCAAAACAAUUGCAGAGACAGACUGAAAUACCAAAUUGUAGAAGCUGAAGGACAGUCGAAAUACCAGAUUUUGCAGAAGCGGAAGACAAAAUAUCACUCCAAAUUUUUUUGCAGAAACUUAACUCAAAUACCAAAUUGCAGAAACUGAAGAGAAGAUGAAAUACCAAAACAAUUGCAGAGACAGAACAGAAAUACCAAAUUGCAGAAGCUGAUACCAAAUUGCAGAAGCUGAAGAGAAGACGAAAUACCAAAACAAUUGCAGAGACAGAAUAGAAAUACCAAAUUGCAGAAGCUGAUACCAAAUUGCAGAAACUGAAGAGAAGACGAAAUACCAAAACAAUUGCAGAGACAGAACAGAAAUACCAAAUUGCAGAAGCUGAAGAGAAGACGAAAUACCAAAACAAUUGCAGAGACAGAAUAGAAAUACCAAAUUGCAGAAGCUGAUACCAAAUUGCAGAAACUGAAGAGAAGAUGAAAUACCAAAACAAUUGCAGAGACAGAACAGAAAUACCAAAUUGCAGAAGCUGAUACCAAAUUGCAGAAGCUGAAAAGAAGACGAAAUACCAAAACAAUUGCAGAGACAGAACAAAAAUACUAAAUUGCAGAAGCUGAAGAAUCUUAAAUAAUGUUUCAGAUAUUAAUUCUUCAGCCGCAAGCACAAAACUUGAUCUUCAUCCUCCAUCUUUUAAUAGGUCAAACAACCCAUGUCUGAUGUUUUGAAAAAUGAAUCUGAAGUUAAGCUUCAAAGGAAUGCAUUGAGCGUGUUGGAACAUCCUACAGGGAAUGAAGUGGAUGAUGAUAACGAUUUUGAUACAAGCAGUGGCUCUAACAUUGGUGAACAUGAUUUCUACAAGGGCAACGAGUUCCAUAAAAUUAACAAGCCAAGGGUUCGAUCAACUAGGCUCUGAUACCAUGUUAAAGUAAUUCAGAUGAAACAUAAAAGGAGGCUAGAAUUCUCAAUAAUAUGUUUAUUAUGAGUGCUUAAGUUAACCUAAAUACAAAGGAAUUAUAUAUAGGUUAAACUGAAAAUACUAUUCUACCCUUAAUAAAUAAAACUAGAUAAAUAUUACUUAACAAGAACUAGAUGGCUUUGGACAUGAUUUAUUUGGAUUGCUCCUAAAGGCGUAUCAUGAUUCGGAUGAGACCAAGAAAAUAUCAUUAGAUGACCUGAUUGAUCAGUGCAAGAAUUUUUAUCUAGCUGGGCAAGAAACAUCAGCAAGCGCACUUACCUGGAUUGUUUUUCUUCUAGCAGUCCACUCAGAUUGGCAAGAUAAAGCAAGGAAAGAGGUGCUUGAAUUAUUUGGCCUACAAAUUCCAAGUCAAGAUCGCAUUGCAAAAUUGAAAAUUGUAAGCAACCAUUCCACCAUGGCUAGCUUCUAACCAAAAUUAUGAACUUUGCAACAUUAUACCUCUUGAUUCAGUUCUUUAACUAAAUUUUCUGUCUCUUCUUUGUAGAUGGGCAUGGUAAUUAAUGAAUCUCUAAGACUAUAUACUCCUAAUGCUAUUCUGAUGAGGAGAGUUGAAAGGGAAACGAAAUUGGGAAAAAUAACUGUUCCAGCGAAUACUGAAGUUUACAUUUCAACUUUAGCAGUUCAUCAAAAUCCUGAAAUAUGGGGAGAAGAUGCUCUUCUUUUUAAACCAGAGAGAUUUGCAGACGGGGUGGUUAAAGCUACAAACAAUAACAUAGCUGCAUUCAUGCCAUUUGGUCUGGGACCUCGAAAUUGUGCGGGGAUGAACUUUGCUAUCACAGAGACAAAGUUAGCACUCUCUAUGAUCCUGCAACGUUACAGUUUUACUCUCUCACCAACUUAUGCCCACUGCCCAACUGAAGUUCUAACAAUGUGCCCCCAGCAUGGAGUUCAAGUCAUUCUCCAACGAUAUGAACAUAUCGCUCUCAAAGUAUAAGAGAUUGACGUCUUCAUUUUGAUAGCUAGAUCCAUCUUUUCAGUAAAAUAAGAUUGAGAACUGAAUAUCUAUAUAAACGCUACAACCGGUCCCCAAUCAGUUGGCUGAAAUAUAAAUGAUCACCAAAGCUACAGUAUCGAUGACGACUGAAAGGAUGAGGAAAUGUUAUAUGAGUCAUUUGUCCGAACGUAAUCUCAGGAUUCUUGAUUCUAUUUUAUAAAGUCUCCUUUAUCAGUACAUUUUUUCCUAUAAGAAACUCACCAGAUAACGCAGAAAGAUGUAAGAAGAAUACAAAACCCAUCAGUUCAGAUCUUGUCUAAAAGAAACAUAUUUUUAGCUUCUGUCAAUACAUACACACAGACGAGUUUGUUCUGUUUUUCAAUCUCGAGUAGAUACAACAAGAACACAAAAAUGCAAUCAAAUUUAGUACAAAAUGAAUCAAAAUAUGAUUGGGCCAUGCAUCUCUUCCUGUUGUCCUACGGGCUGUUUCUAAAUUUUCCAUUCCUGUUGCUUCAAAUAAUACACAAUCUGUAUGUUUUUAUUGUCAAAAAGCAAAAAGUUGUUCUCUACCAUCUAAAAAUGUUCAUUUACGAUCCACUUCCCCCUAGACUUGAUCUACUCUGAUGUUUGGGGACCAGCUUCUGUCCUUUCUACUACUGCACGUGAUUGUGUUAUUUUUCUUGAUGAUUGUACUAGAUUCUUAUGGAUCUUCCCCAUGAAACUUAAAUCUGAUGUUCAAUCAAUUUUCCACCAAUUUCAGACCUUUGUUGAACGCCAAUUCAACAGCACUAUCAAAUCCAUUCAAAUUGAUUGUUGGGGGGGGGGGGAUAUCGCAGAUUAUCCAAUUACUUCAAACAGAGUGGCAUGAACCAUCGCAUUGCUUGCCCUUACACUCACCAGCAAAUGGGAGCUAUAGAACGCAGGCAUAGACAAAUAGUUGAAACUGGUUUAUCACUACUUUCUCAUUCUCAUUUACCUCAACAUUUCUGGGAAGAUGCUUUCACCACUGCCAUGUACAUCAUCAACAGGCUUCCCACCCCUCUUCUACAUAACCAAUCUCCAUAUGAAGUGGUCUACCACAAGAAACCAGACUACCAAUUCCUUAAAAUAUUUGGUUGUGCCUGCUGGCCUUAUCUUCAUCCCUUCAACAACCAUAAACUUGACUUCAGGUCCAAACUUUGCAUAUUUCUUGGCUACAGUCGGAACCACAAUGGGUAUAAAUGUCUAGAUACAUCUACAGGAAAGGUUUACGUCUCCCAUCAUGUUGUUUUUGAUGAACAUCGCUUCCCAUUUCAACACACUUCCACAUCCUCCCCUACCUCUUAUAAUACACAUACUGCUUCCCUUCCACUUCAACCAAUCUCUCAUCCUCCCCAACCUGACCCUGAUACUCACACUGUUUCAUCUGACAACUCCUUGUCUUCCAUGUCUCAAGAUUUUGCUGAUGCAGGUUUAGAGGCUGACUCACCUAAUUUGGAUAUUUCUUCCAAUCACUCUAGUGCCAGAAAUUCUACUUCUCCAGCACAACAAGAAUGCAACUCAGCUCCUCCUACGCUGCAGCCAAUCCAUUGUCCUGUGAAUACUCAUCAUAUGAUUACAAGAUCCAAAAAUAAUAUUCAUUGUCCCAAGAAGCUUCCUGCUGAUGUCACUCAAUAUCCUCUGCCACGAGCACUUCUUGUUGCUGCUCAAGAAAUCCAUGAUGAGCCAACAUGUUAUACUAAGGCUUCCAAAUCUAGUGAAUGGAGAUCUGCCUUGAAUACUGAAUUUGAUGCUCUAUUGCGCAAUGGCACCUGGACACUAGUUCCCCUCCACCACACACCCAUGUUAUAGGUUGUAAAUGGGUUUAAAGAAUCAAACGCAAGGCAUAUGGUACUGUCAAAGGUUAUAAAGCACGUCUCCUAGCUAAAGGCUAAUUUAUUAUAACUUAAAGCUAAAGAAUAAGAAGAAGAAUGAGAUAAAUGAUAUUUUAUUAAGAGUUUUCUUAAAAGAUACACUUUUCUAGCUUUUUUCUAUGUCUCUCUUAACUUGUCUUUAAUACUUAUGAUUAUAAAUCUAUUUAUAAAUCUCAAGUCCUAGAUAUUCAAGGAAUUAAAUUAUUCAAAAGAAAUCCUAAUCUAAUAAGGAAUCUAACAUUCUAAUUAAAUAAGGAUUCUAACAAACUAGUCUAUUAUAAAUCCUUCUUCCUCAAGAACUCUUAUAUUAACUAGAAUUCUUUCUUUAGCUAAUAUUAAAACUCCUACAAACUCUAAAUUUUAUUAGUCUAAAUCCUAGUUGAUUUUGAAUUUCAAGAAAGCUUUCACCAAUAGUAUGGACUUGAUUUUACAGGCACUUACAAUCCAGUAAUUAAACCUGCAACAGGACACCUGGUCCUCAUACCUACUAUCUUUCAUGGCUGGCCAAUACAUCAAAUUGAUGUCCAAAACGCAUUCCUUCAUGGUCAUCUCCAACAGGAUGUCUACAUGGUUCGAUCAACCACCAGGUUUUCAGCAUCCUCAGUAUCAUAAUCAUGUCUGUCAUCUCCAUCAGUCACUAUAUGGUCUUCGUCAAGCACCACGUGCUAGGUUCUCAAGGCUCUCUUCACAGCUUCUGAAUUAUGGAUUCACUGGAAAUCAAAACAAUAUCUCGUUGUUAAUCUAUCGUCAAGAAUCAACAAUAAUAUUUGUCUUGAUUUAUGUCAAUGACAUCAUUCUGAUAGGCUCCUCAUCUAAAGUCAUCAACAAUGUUAUCAACUAUCUUCGGAAUGACCUUGGACAACUAAUUUUUUUCCUCGGCGUUGAAGCUUCACAUGCAUUGUAGCAACGACAUCUACCUCAUUCCGCAAAGAUACAUGACUGAUUUGUUGAUUCGUUUUGGAAUGGAUUAAUAUAAGCCCUUUUCCACUCCUAUGGCUACAACCCUCACUUUAUCCAAACAUGAUCAUCCAGAUUGUCCUGACGCCAAUUUAUAUCGCAGCAUCGUAGGGAGUCUACAUUAUUUGGCCUUCACAAGACCAGACAUUUCAUUUGUUGUCCAUCCUGCGUUAUUUAAAAGAAACUAUUUCCUUUGGCCUUUUCAUCCCCAAGUCCCUAUCACCACACUUUCAAGCCUUUGCUGACAGUGACUGGGCUGGUGACCCUGAUGACCGGCGGUCAGUUGGAGCCUAUUGCAUUUACCUUGGUUCAAGUCUCAUUGCAUGGACAUGCAAACAACAGGAAGCUCUAGCAAAUGCUGCUGCUGAGUUACAGUGGCUGUGCAAACUUUGUAAUGACUUGGGUUCACCUCCUACUCAAAAACAAAUUAUCUGGUGUGACAACAUUGGAGCAGCGUAUUUCUCUGCUAAUCCCCUUUUUCAUGCUCGAACCAAACAUAUUGAGAUUGACUUUCACUUUGUUCGUGAUCUAGUGCACAGCAAAGAAUCCAGGUCCGCCUUCUCUCCACAAAAGAUCAGAUUGAUGACCUGCUAACCAAACCUUUAGCUACUACGAGGUUCCAGCAUAUCCGGUUCAAUCUUAAGGUUAGGGAGCUUCCCUUGAGAUUGCGGGGGCGUUUCAGUGAUAUACAUGGAAACUUACAUCUUGAAGAUUAUCAGAAAGACACAAAGAUUGCAGAAGAUUGCACAGUCACUAACUCCUGAUGUAAAGUCAAAGCUAAAUUCCUGGGAGAAUAUUCAGGAGACAAUUGAUUCCAAUCAAAUAUCAGAUUGCUUAAAGUAUGGCACUUGUUGUGCACAUCUAUAUAUUUAAAAUGCAUUGUAAAUAAAACGAACGUAAUAUAAGAAAUAUAUAUUCAGCUCGUAUUCUUUCUUAAAACUUUACAGGCACCAAUACAAUACCAAGCAUUAAACCUUUUGAAUAAAUCUAUUCUGAUGUAUGGGACCAUCUCAUAUAUCUUCAUAUCAAGAUUUCAAAUAUUAUGUGAUAUUCAUUGAUCAUUUGACUAUAUACUGUUGAAUUUUUUCCAAUGCACUUAAAAUAUGAUCUAAACAAUAAUUUUCCUCUUAUCCAUGUUGUUCUUAAAAAACAGUUUGGUGUACCUAUUCAAAAUCUAUACUCUAACAAGUGGGGAAUACACGAAGCUAAAAUCCUAUCUCAGCAUACAUGGUAGACUAUCACACCUCCCUACACCCCUCAAUAAAAUAGCCUUUAUGAACUUCAUUAUCAUCAUUUGAUGAAAUUCGAAUGAUCCUUUUAUCACAAGCAAAUUUACCUGUUAAAUUUUGGUGCCUUGAAUUUCAAACUGUUGUUUAUCUAAUAAAUAGACUACCCACACCAAUUCUUCAUAACAAAUCUUCUUUUGAAUGUGCAUUUAAUCAUAAAACAAACUAUCAAAAACUAAGGGUCUCUAGCUGUCUUUGCUUUAUAUGGUUGAAACCUGACAACCAUCAUCAAAUGGAUCCAAUAUCAAAACCUUGCAUUUUUUUGUUGGUUAUUUAACAUCUUAAAGUGUUUACAAAUGCAUGUACAUAUAAACACAUAAAAUUUAUUUAUCAAGACAUGUUACAUUCAGUGAAAAUAACUUUCCUUGUAAAUCAUCCCCACCUCAUAAAAUAGAUCAUUUUAAAAUAAGAUUGAAGAUAUAUUUUUUUAGUCAAUAAUUCAUUAACAACAAAGUUAACAGAAGAUAAUGGAUAGAGAAUGAUGAAGAAUUGAACCUCAAAAUCCUUCAAAAUCACUACAAAGUACUAUUAAAAAUCAUACUAAUCAUUGUUGCUCUCUAUACUUAAUAUUGACACCACAUAUCUUUAAUUCUGUUGAUUCCUGUGGAUCAAUGGUUGAGUACAGGCCUUAAAAUGCUGGUAACAAAUAUUGGCUAUGGAUUUAAAGCUAAAAAAAAAAAAAAACUGAUUUUCCGGGAAGGAGGUUUCCAAUUGCUAUCCAAACCCAUGUCAAACACCUACUACUCUAGCACAAAAGCCUUUCUCUUAUGAAACUGUCCUUUCUCCUUAUUUGGUGAUAAAAAAACAAUAGUCUAAGGAAGAAUCCCUAUUAGACCAACUGUACUCGAUGAUAAAAGAAACAAAGCCUAAAAAUGUCUCUAAGGAAUUUAUAGCCAGAAGAAAUCUAAUCAGUAUUGUAGAGGCAACAUUACACUUUCUUCUCCACUGUCAUUGCUCCUGGUGUUUCUGGUCUAAAGUUAUUCAAUGGUGGGGAAUUUCAACUAGUUUUCUCGAAUCUCUUGAAGAUUUUUACAAUAAAUGGUUAUGCUACAGCUCAAGUAAAUUCCAAGUCAAAGCAUGGAAGUUAGUUUUCUUUGCAACUUUGUGGAUUAUUUGGUUGACAAGGAAUAAUUUAGUGUUCAAUAGCGUGCAACUGGAAUGGCCAUAUCUCUUUCAAUUGUUAGCGCAUAGAAUUUCAGUCUGGAUUCACAAGAUAGAAGGAAAUUUCACAUAUACAAGGCUUGAUUUGACUUGAGGAUCAAAAGGUAUUAGAUUAUGGACCAACCCUACCAAGAAAUUAUCGAAUUUUUAGCCUCAGUGUCUGUAAUUUUCUAUACCUUCUUGCCUUGUACUUCAUCUUGUUAGUCAGCAUCUAUGUGGUUAUAUUUCUUCAAUUAAUAAAAUCCGUCUCGUUUUUUUUUUUAAAAAAACUUGGCAGAGGUCUAGUUGUUUCAUAUUAAUUCGUAUAAAAUUACUAUAGUAAAUACUAUUUGUGUUGUAAUAUUUUUUUUAUUCGUUUAGUAUAGGGAAAUACCAUAAAAUCAUAUCCACACUUCACCAAUAUUUCAUGACCCACUGAAUGGGUUCUGCUAUUAGUUUUUUUUUUUAUAUAUAUAUAAUAGAGAUGAUAUAUUAAAGGGUUAGUGCCAUCAAGAAACUGACAAACUAGAAAACAGAGAAGUUCUUAAUUAUAAGAGUAGAUAAAGCUGCAUAAAUAGUAAAGACUUACACAGAACAAAAUUAAUUUGACAAAAAAAUAAUGCUUUCUGAUCCUCUAUCAAGAUCCAUAUAUGUAUAAGUGAACCUUGAAUUCAUGGUGUUCAACCAAAAAAUAAUACCUCCUACUAGAGCAAGACAAAUAAUAGAUGAUGAUAACUUAGUCGUACAAGUCAAAAUAAUUUAUAUUGUCUUAUCCUUCUUCUCUUCUGUUUCCCUUCCUUGCUAGAGAUUAUGCUUGAGCUAUCUUCUUGAAAUUUUAGUUUUAGCCUUUCCUUUUCUUAUCAUUUUUACCAAGAUAAUGGGUAAGAAAACAAGGAUCACGAAUACACGAACCUGUUUCACUAAAAGAAGCUAAGCGAAAAACAUAACUUCAAUUUUCAACUACAUUUCCGGCUUCAUAUAAAUGCAUGAAAAGUUCACCAAAGAUUUUGCUUCUCUUAACAUUUACAAAUCACACUUACUUUAGCUAUACAGGAGGGAGAAGAGGUGGUCCUUUCUCUUAAAUGGUAAAGAAGUCAACAAUCUCAUGGUAAAGAACUUGAUUCAAUUAAUUUCUAGUCAAUUUAUUCAUCCGUCCAUUCAAGAAUGCCAACUAAGCGAAUGACAUUUUGUUUACUCUCGUCCCCUGAAGCAAUUAACCCACCUUAUCUCUUGUCAUUGGAUUGGAGCUGGGUCAUGAUUAUUAGUGAUCAUGUUAAACCUGCUCAUCUUUGUUUUCUAUUCAUCAAGGACAUUAAGAUAUUAAUAAAUCUGUUCAUCAAUAAUAUUUAAUCGCCUUUUCAGUAUAUUCUCGAUGAUUAUUAAAAAUUAAGAAAAGACAUUAAGAUGUUGGUUUAGAGAGACCGGUCGUGUGUUGUGCAGCAUAUGCUAAAAGAAGAGCAUAGUGCAGCUGAUCUUUUAGCUAAUUUGGGAGCUUCGAGGGAAAAUGUAGAUUUUUUUAUGUUCUUAACCUUCUCCUAGUCUGUUCCUGUUCCUCUUUACGGAUUGUGCUAUCCUCUUGAAAUUAUAGCUUUGGCCCUUUUUUACCCCUUUUACCAAAAGAAUGGUUACGGAAACAAGCAUCACUAAAGCCAAGGAUCAAAGAAGGAAAAAUUUUAUAUUGCACAGGAAAUAGUUAUGUUAUAUUACUUGUUUUCUAGAAUGUACUUUAAAAAAACAGAUAAAUACAUAUAUAGUGACAGUUAAAUUCAUGGGUCAUGAAUAUAUAAUAAAAAUAUCUCUAUCUAGAAUUUAUAUCUUAUAUUUGUAUUUAUUUUUUUAAAAGUAAAUUUAAAGGAGUAAUUAAUAUUAAGAUAUUACUAAUUACACUUGAGUCCCAUAAUUUUAGCAAAGAACAAUAUUCAACUUCAUUUCCCGUUUCAUAUAAAUGCAUAAAAAGUUUACUAGAACAACUAUAGACGAAGAGCGUGUUUGUUUUUUUGCGGUGGCAUUAUAUAUUUUUUUAAAAACAUUAUUUCUAAUUAUUAUUAUAUUUUAUGUUUUUAGACUAUUUUGAUGUAUUAAUAUCAAAAUAAAUUUUAAAAAAUAAAAAAUUAUUAUUCAAAAUUGUUAAUUUGAAACAUGUAAUUAAAAUCUUGUUGUGGUCCAUUCUCAUCCCCUCUCAUACACGAGAAUUGCAUGGAACUACCUAAUUUUGCUGCUUGAGGAAUAUUUCCGUCUGUUCACAUUUACAAAUCACCCUUACAUUUGUUAUAUAGGACGGACAAGAGCCGGUCCUUUCUCAAAGAGUGGACAAGAAGUCAACAAUCCCAUGGGGAUGGUAUUUAUUAAUUUGUCUUAUGUCCAUAAAUCUUCCAGCGGUCCACUCACAUCCCAACUUUUACUCGUAAUCAUAAACAAGGUAGGGACUCCUUAUUCAUUAUUUAUUUUCCAUUUCUUUUUCUAAUUUUGCCGCGAUACCUGGGUGCGAUUGCAUAUAAAUUUUUUUACUUCGGUAAGUAAAUGAACAGUGCUUGGCUUUGAUUUUUUAUAUGCGUAUGUUUGAUUGUAUACCAAUGAAGGUUGGUUUGAGUGGAAGGGGCUCUGGUUACUUAAGCAAGAGGUCUCGUGUUUGAGCCCUUGUGAAUGCAACGAACUUUCUUGGGAGAGGUUCGUGUCUUGAUGCCCGACCAUAUUGUUCAUGUUAGAGAAUAAUAUAAAUCAUAUUCUGAGACCUUACCGCUAACAGCUUAAGCUAUUGGGUUGAGAUAGUUCUUUGACAUGGUAUCAGAGCCUUGAUGACUAAGUGGUCUUGAGUUCGAAUCUUACCAUCCCCAUUUAUUUGAUAAAAAGUAAGCACAAAGGUAAUGUGGGCCUGUGCAAGUUUCAAGCCCAAAGGGCUUUCACUUGAGGGAGUGUGUUAGAGAAUAAUAUAAAUCAUAUCCUGUGAUCUUACCUAGCAGCUUAAGCUAUUGGGUUGAGAUGGUUCUUUGACAAUUAAGUACGCCAAGUCUUUUUCCAAACAAAUUGUCUCAACUUUCAUGUGUGACCUUCAUAAGUGUAUUGAGAAAUUCUCAAUUUUUAUAGUUUUUUGAGUAUUAAUUCAUUUUUAUUCCCGUGUUUUGUUGCAAGGCAGGAAUGGAAACGGCUAUUAUGUCUAAAAGCUAUAUAAGAAUUGGCUUUGUUUGGUUUGACUAGGUGUUGGUAUAGGUUUUUUAGUAGCGGCUUGUGGUUCGUUGUUUCUUCUAGUAAACAGGUCGGGUGUUUUGAUAUAAAAAACGUUGGUUAUGGUUAAAAGGUUGAGUCACUUGCUGUAGGGUGUUUUGGGAUAUGACUUGAGGUUAUCUCAUAAUGAUAAGAGGUAAUGUAUAUCCUAGCACACAAAAAAUUCUAAACAAGCUUCUAAUUCAUUGAGAGAGAGACAUACUUACCAAAUAAAGACCAAAACAAUAUUUGCAUAUAUAUAUAUAUAUGAUUUUAAAAAUCAAAUGUUGCCAUGAUGAGGUAGAAUAACAAUUUAUUAUAAGCAAAGAUUAUGGAUAGAGUAUUAUAGGCUAUUAAUCAUGAACUCAUAAACUUUCAAUAAGAAUUUAAGGUUUUAUAGAUAUUAACCUGAUCCAAAAACCACAUCAGAACACCACUAUUUUCUAAUGCUAAACUUUAGGUAAUAUUAAUGAUUUUUAGAUGAGCUGUUUUCUCAUGCUUUAAUGUUCUUGAUCGAUUUAGUUUGGUUCAGGCUGAAUUUUAUAGUUUCAAAGUUUACAACCAAUAUCAAACCGAACCUAAUUUAAAACAAAUUAACAAAAUUAUCCAAUAAAUUCGUGAAACUAUUUGAUUAGAUUACUUUUUAGUCAAUAUGUAUAAAUAUUCCAAAUAAUCCGAUUCAUUUGCUUACCUGUCCAUUCAAGAAUGCCAACUUUGCGAAUGACAUGCUGUUUCCUCUCAUCCACAUAAACAACCCACGUUUCUCUUGUCAUUGGGUUGGAGUUGGGCCCAAAGGCAAUCAAGAGUACAGCGACUUUAAGUAUAACCUUUUUUUCUCGUUCACAUUGGUGCAUCAUCACCCAAAAUUUUGCUAUAAAAGGGGAGUCGAGCCGAUCCUAGUUCCUCAAGUGGUAGUUGAGCAAAACAUAGUCGCUAAGCAAAGGGUUCUAAUAUUUUAGCUUUCACAACAUGGGUGAGCCCUUAAUUAGACACAUGCCCAUGCUAGCAUUUUCAUCGGUUCCAAUAACAUGAUAUUUUGUUGCAGUCUUAUGAAUUGAAUUGCAUAGAAUUAAAGAUUAAUUUGGCACCAUUACUAUUGGUUAAUAUAUAUUAAUUGUUCUUGUUAUGAUCCUUGUUAAAAUUUUAGGGAAUGGAAGUUCUUGUGAACCAGAGCAUCAGGGAGACUUAACCACAAUCCUUAGCAUUGAUGGUGGAGGAGUGCGAGGCAUCAUUCCUAGUGAAGUCCUAAGUGUUCUUGAAUCAAAGCUCCAGGUUAAUUUGUUCUCUCAACAUGCUUGCUCAUAUUUUCCUUCAUUAAACUUUUACACACUAGAGCUAUAUAUAUAUUCAUCCUCGUUUCAUUUUUCUUGUAUAUAUAGAAAUUUGAUGGCAACAAGGACGCAAGAAUUGCAGAUUAUUUUGACUUCAUUGCUGGGACAAGCACAGGAGGCCUUAUGACAGCUAUGCUUACUGCUCCAAAUGUUGAAAAACGACCUUUGUUUGCUGCGAAAGAUAUUGCUAAGUUUUAUCAAGACAAGAGUCCAAUUAUCUUUCCUAAUGAAGAAGGAAAAUCCCUUCUCAAAGCACAUGAAACAAACCAACUUCUGUUUACCGAAGGGGAUUUCAGAAUCUCGGAUCCUGAUGGAGCAAGGAAGCAAUUUUUGACAACGUAGGUAAAACAAGUUCAACGGAUUGAACUUGUUUGAUAAUUUAAACCAUAUUCUUAGAACAAAACUCUUCCUUUUCAGCUGAAUUAAUAACGACAUUUGCAUAAAUUAAUAUCACUGACAGGAUCUGUCUUUUAAACAGGUACACCAGAGUCAUUAAUACUCCAGCAAAUAUAUUGCGGUUUAUUAUUAAUUUGAUCACCAGGUUCUUUCCUGGGUUGAAGGGUUAUGUAGAUCCUCUUAAUAAGAGUUUUCUACAACCAAAAUAUGACGGUAAGAAUCUGCAAGAUACGAUUAAGGGACUUUUGGGAGAGAAACUAGCUAUCAGUGAGACUCUAACGAGUGUGAUAAUCCCCGCCUUCGAUAUCAAGCAUUUUGGGCCUACCAUCUUUUCCACCUUGAAGGUCAUUAUUCUUACACAUGCAUAUUUUCUAAUAUUUUCCUAUAUAUACACACACACACACACACACACUUAUAUAUUCCAACAUUAAUUAAUUUUACUUGAUGCUGUAACAUAUCGAUCUCAUCUUGAUAUUCACUUGUAUUGUAGGCCAAGCGUGACAGGUCAAUGGAUGCUCCACUGGCAGACGUUUGUAGGGCCACCUCUGCAGCUCCGUAUUACUUUCCCCCUUAUUAUUUCAAAACCAGCAAGCCUUUCAACCUAGUUGAUGGCGG
Molecule: long non-coding RNA, 19575 nt
Filed under: Populus trichocarpa (black cottonwood)
Lineage: Eukaryota; Viridiplantae; Streptophyta; Magnoliopsida; Malpighiales; Salicaceae
Description: long non-coding RNA (PTRI_LNC004134)
Source: RNAcentral